GGGCCGAUAGAUCAACGGUAGAUCGCUUCCCUUGCAAGGAAGAGGCUUCGGGUUCAAAUCCCGAUCGGUCCA
Molecule: transfer RNA, 72 nt
Filed under: Candidatus Aenigmatarchaeota archaeon
Lineage: Archaea; Nanobdellati; Candidatus Aenigmatarchaeota
Description: tRNA-Ala
Rfam family: tRNA
About the family: Transfer RNA (tRNA) molecules are approximately 80 nucleotides in length.
Source: RNAcentral